CACUUCAAACAUUGAAAGUUUGCUACAAAUGCCUAUUGGUUCAGGAAAAGCUAGUGGUGCUAUAAGUGCUCCAAAUCCAUGGUUCAAAAUUCAUUUUAUUGCUAAUUUUACCAGAGUAUAUUUUUAAGGCGAAUUUAUUGGAGCCUAAAGUGCUCACUUCCUACCAUGAUAAGUUAAUUCACAGUUCACAUUCAACACUUCAAGAUCAUGAUGCUACUAAUUCUCCAUGAAAAAGGAUGUGAAAAGAUCACCCUAGAAAGUGAAGCUAAAUAAACAUGUGUACUAAGCUUAAAAAAGGGUGCAGAUCUCAAAACUGUGCAUUAAUUUGCAUCAUCAUUCGAAAUCUCGCAAUCUCAUCGGAACCCUUUCCAGUUGAAUUCCAGCUAAGCCUUAUCCGCAUCAGCUUGUGGACUAGUAAUCCCAUUGACCAAGAGAACUGGGCAAAGUGAAGGUCACGGUGCAUUAGACAGAACACUGCUGCUUUAUUUUGAACAAUGAACUCCACAUUUUGGCCAUGAAUAGACGUGCUUCAUGCCUUCAUCUAUGUCUUCUGGAUAGCAACAGCACUUGCACAAAUCUACAUAUGAAGUUUCUGCCUUAUAGAUUUGGUUGUCAAGAACUUUAUUGUAUUUUCAGGAAGAAUGUAGUUGCGAUAAUUUUCUUGUUAGUCCAAUCAACAUCUGACAUCUCAGGCUGAGAGGAGAACCAGCAUACACUGUCACCUAAUGGUAACAUGAGGCAUUGAAGCUGGCAACUUUUUCAAGUCUUAGAUUCCCUCAUGAUUGUUAAUUUAUCUAUUGCAUAUCUUUUAAUAUAUUCUUUGACAUUAUGCGUCUGCCAACCAUAAGAUUCCAGAAAAGAUUUAAGAUGCUUUUGUCACCAGCAUAAGAAGCAUUAAAACACCGGUAGAUUUUUACAGUAAUCAUCAGCCUUCUUCUGUACAUUUCAUCCAACAGAUCUGAAGCAGCAUUUGCCUUUCCAAUUUUCCAGUAUGCGUAUGCUAGACUAGUGUGGAUGACACUAUCUGCCAAUAUGCCCUUCUCUUGCAUGAGACUAAAUAUUCUUUGAGCACAAUCAACCUUUUCUCUUUUGCAAAGCCUCCUUAUUAGUGCCCUGUAUAAGGAUAUAUCAGCACAAAGACCACUUCUUACAAACUCGUCUGGGAGUUUGAUAACUGCCUCUUCCUUGUGUUGAUCGCAGUAACCAUCUACAAGCCAUGAAUAAGUGUGGUAACUAGGAGAAAAUCCUGCAUGAAGCAUGCUGAACAAAAGCUCUUUGGCACUGUCCAUCUCCUUAAUUUUGCAGAAUCCAUGGAUCAAUGCUUUGUAAGUAAACUUAUCUAGCUUCAAACCAGCAUCCACCAUUCUGUCCUUCACUUUCAAAGCUGACUUUACGUCCCCUAUCUUGCAAUAAGCAUUAAUCAAUGUGUUACAUGUGACAUUAUCUGGUUCAAUCUUCCUUUCAUUCAUCUCAUUUAGGAGCUUAUUUGCAUCUCUUAUCCUGCCUUCCUCGCAUAACUUGCGCAGAAUUGAAUUAUAAGUAACAACUGUAGGAUACAGCCCUUGUGCUUCCAUUACUUCUCGCAAUCUCAAUGCCUCAUCAAGGUCAUUCACUCUACAAUACCCAUCAAUCAAAGUAGUGUAAGUCACAUGGUUAGGAGUAGCAUUUUUAAUUUCCCUAAAAAGCCUAAGAGCCUCUCUCAUUCUACCUUCUCUACAAAAGCCAUAAAUAAGUGAAUUAUAAGUAACAAUAUCAGGGCUAAUUUGUCCCCUAUCCAUUCUAUCUUGAAUACACAAAGCUUCAUAGUGCAUACCCUUUUUGCAAUACAAUGAAAUCAACGUAUUGUACGUGAAAAGAUCAGGAAAAACACAUUUUGAUUCCAUUUCACUUAACAACUUCUCCGCUUUCCCCACAUCCCCAGAUUUACAACAAGCAUGAAUCAACACAUUGUAGACAUGAAUAUUAGCUGCAACUCCAAUCCUAACCAUCUUCUUAUAAACUUUCCACACCAUAUCAGUCAGCCUUUCCUUGACCAACGAAUUCAAUAGCACAGUACAAGCAUGCAAAUGUGGCCUAAACCCAUGUAUUCUCAUGUGCUCAAGAACCUGAAGAGCUUCCUGUGUCAUUUUGGAAUUCGCAUAAACUAUCACAAGCCAGCUACAAACAUGAGAAUUCACAUCUGGGUCGUCAUGAAGCCUCACUAAAGCACUCAAAACCGAUUGAGUUGACAAGAAAUCCUUAUAGGCAAUCUUCUCAACUACACUCUGUGCAGACUUGAAGUGUUUGUACUUGGUUAAAAUGUGAAUCAUUGUCCACGAAGAUUGUAAGGAAUGUUUAUAGUAAGGAAUCGAUGAUUCAAUCCAUUUGAAGAAUGCCCAAGAAAGAGAAGGACUAUUACUAUAUAAAGAAAGCUGCAAUAGUACCUGGUGAACGGUUGUUGUAGUAAGAUUAGACCCUAUCUUGGAUCUCAAGAGAUUCUUCCAGCUGCCCUUUACUACGGCUGCGCAUAUGCUUUGAACUAGUUGAGCAUCAUUGUUCAGAGGGGCUAAAGUAGCCAUAUUUUGUGUGGACUCCGGCAACGAGUUAAUGGUAUUCUAUUAUCCUGGGUAUGUAAGUGCUAUCAUUGUGGGGUAAGCAAUAGGAAAUACGAAAAAUAUUGGGGUAAAAAGGUGGAAAUUAAGACACUCAGG
RNAcentral lists this unclassified non-coding RNA (2690 nucleotides) under Hevea brasiliensis (rubber tree). Lineage: Eukaryota; Viridiplantae; Streptophyta; Magnoliopsida; Malpighiales; Euphorbiaceae. The record is from RNAcentral.